GCCGCGGCCCGUCGGUCCGGGCGGGUUCCGCCGCCCAGGCGGCGGCCUCCGCCCCUAGCGGGCUGCCGGCCGCGGGGCGUGCUGGUCGGUCCCCGGCGGGGGUCGGCGGAUGGGGCCUGUCCCCUCUAGGUCCGCCUGCCUCGGGUGUCCGAUGCGGAAAGCAAGCUGGUGAUUGUGUUCCGGCGAGCCCUGUCCCCGUGUGUCCGUCCCAUCCCGCUCCCCCCGCUCCCGCCCGCUUUGGGGAGCCGCGGUGUCGGUACGUGGCGCUGUGACCCGGCAGCGUGGCGCCGGGGUGGGGGGGGGGGAGCCGAGGGGGGCACGGGCGAACGGCCCACGGGUGAAACGGAGCCUUAAAAUGAUAACACGCCGCAUGGGUGCUACAGAGGGGUGUGCGCGUUUUCUGUGUCGUGCUCUCCCAGCCCAUACUCGAGUUUUCUCCUUUACUGUUGCUGUGCUGUGAAGGAAGCAUGUUUGUCCUUAAAACUCGCCCAUGACGUACGCAGCCUGCCUUACGGUAAUUUCGUACGCGGUGCUGUAGGGUAAGGCUCUGCCAGGGCUCUGCGGGUUUCAGUGUUCCCGGUGCCCUGGAAACCGGGCUGUAUCGCGCCGGCUGAUACCAGAUGUAUGCUGCAGCCGUCCUCGCUAAUAAAAUGGUAUAGACCAGUAACUCAUUUUUGCAGGACACUGUGCUGGCAGUUCCAAUCGGGUGGAACCGGUAGCAGGAGUUGGCUGCAGUGUGUUACAUCACCCCUUUCCGUCUGAAGAAGCUGCUCGACGUGUAAAGCAUUGCAACCUCUUUCCAUUAGAAGGGGAGGCAAACUGUGGAAUUGUAAUUUUUUUUUUUUUUUAAUGCAAGCCUGUCGAUUUUGUAUUGUUUUGUAUUACUAUGUGCAAAGCCUUUUUGUCCUGACCACUCUCAGGAUCAAGCAGCAGGAGAGGAUUUCCCUGCUGACUGCUCCAAGCAUCCAGGUAUCCUUACACAGCACAAGGCUGAGAGGACGACUGCUUUGCAUCGCUGGGGUGCUGGCAGUUAUUUUGGUCCUUGUGAGACAGCUGAACAUCCAGUCCUUCCUCCUUCCCCUCCAAAAAACCCGAUGCCAGCUUCUAAGCCAAACCAUGGAAAUGUCCUCAGAGCCUGAUGGGCUCUCUGAGCAAUGCCUGGAGCCAGGCAGGGUGUGCUGCCCUGCCAGAAACAUGCCGUCCCACCAGCUGCUCAACAUCUCACCCACUGCUGAGGCACCCCAGACAUAUGAGCCCCAAAUGAGCCAGAGAAGAGACUGAACCUCCAAAACUACCUAUGAAUUCUUUGCUUGAAGUUAUCCAGAAGAGAUGAAACUCUGCUGUCAGUCGGCAUUUUACUGUAAUACUGAGGUCCAGUAAGGGGACAGGCGCCCAGGAGACGUGGCUUUAUUUCUGGCUCUGCCAUUCAAAUUCUGCGUGGCCUUGGGCAAGUCCUUUCCCUUGUCCCUGCCUUCCCUUGUCCACACACCCCUCUUUUGAACUGCGCAAUGGCAGUAGAGAUGACUUAUUGCAGUGCCAUGGCCGGUUGGAUCCACAGAAGUAAAUAAACAAUGAAGGCAAAAUGGUGUAAUUUAAAAAAAAAAAAUUCUGCUUGGCAAGAUCUUGUGUAAACUAGACAAGGAGAAAAAUGUGGUAUGUUGAGUUUCUCUAAUUCUAGUCUCUGCUUACUUUUCAUGGAAAGGGGAGUCUCACUAGCUGGGGAACACAAACAAUAGUAGUUGGCGAGUCCCAACCUACCAAUGCAACUACAGGAUUAAUUAGGAAUGGUCUGAAACCCAAGCAGGGAGUAAAAAAUAAACCCAGCUUAUCUUUUCACUUGCUUUAGACAGUAAGAGUAGUCUGUGGACCAGACAGUCAUCCGGAGAUGUCCUGGAGCAGAAAGCAGUUUCCUUUCGGGUCUGCUUGGUUUUGACAUCCAGACUGGGGAAGCGCUCAGCUAUUUGUAAGUGUAGAAGCAAGUCUCUGUGAAACACUGACAUUUUAGGGUAGGCUGAGUGUCUGCAAUGAAAUCCCUGAUGCAGUGCAGUUGGUGGGUGGCGUCAGACAAAUUUUAAUGGGCUUUGUAGUAGGGCCCAAACAUAUCCCAAAGAACAGGAGAAGUAAGCUUUGGUUUAGCCAAAUAUCUAAGCAUGUACUUAACCAUUGAAAAUAAUGAGAAUUAAGCAUAUACUUGAGUCAUCUGCUGACCUGUAUCUUAACUACUGAGUAACAAAUACUGACCUGCAGAGACUCUGCAUAAAACAGGGAUAUGCCUUUUAUAUGCCCAAGAGGGACACACCAUUUAAAAUAGCAGAUUUCUUUGAUUUUCUAGUGACAUAGCAAAAGCAGAAUUUGGCCCUGUGCUCCUUGGAAGAAGGAAAUUUUAAAUUAUUAUCAACUGCAGCUUCCCACUGCAACAUUUUGCAUCAUGCAGGUUAAUGGCUGGCUGCUAGAAAAGAGGACUUCUCUGUUUCUGUCUAACAGGAUUUUUGGCAUCCUGCUCAUUAGAAGGGUUAUUUUCUUUAACCAUAUUGCUGUAGGAAUGCAUUUUUUAAGAUUCCUGCUGCAUUGACACAACCUUCAUAUCUUUUCAGCUUAUAGUUUCUGGAAUUCUUUUUCUCCCGAUAAGAAGUGAUGUUGCUGGGUGUGCUUUUUCUAACAAGCCUUGAUGGAAGAUCAAGGAAGAAAAGCUAAUAUAUCCGAUGGCUUGAUAAUUUCAGGGUCAAACCAGAUUUUAAGUGGUGGUUUUCUUGCACUUGCUGAUGAAUCUGUUUGAUCAAGCAGCUGGUGUGUGAGAUCUAGACGGCAGCACAUAGAACACAUUAGGAAAACAGAGAGAAUGUGAGAUUAAACUGAAAAGAGGGAAGAACAGCAUUUCCUCACCGUUCUACAUGAAGGCAGAAGAUGCUCCGAGAGGAUACAAACUCAGUUUUCUUAUUGGACCUAUGGCCUCUUCCCCCCAUCAGAUUAUUCAAAGGUAAAUUUGCUUUUCACUAUCUUAGACAGACCAUUUCCCCCUCACUGGUAUACUUACUUAUUAGUAACGUUAUUUGUAAAAUGCUAACUUCAUUGCCUGCACUGUUACGAUGUUAUCUCUAUGUGCUUCUGUGAGAAUGUAACAAUGUCAUGAAGAAAAAUGAUGUAAAAAUGAUGUGGGUACAUAAAAUGGGAUUGACAAAAUGUAAUAAAUCACUGCUGGGCUGAA
Long non-coding RNA from Aquila chrysaetos chrysaetos, 3205 nucleotides. RefSeq lists it as uncharacterized. The record is from RefSeq and is a predicted model, not a curated record. The transcript is spliced from 2 exons. Lineage: Eukaryota; Metazoa; Chordata; Aves; Accipitriformes; Accipitridae.